RNAcentral lists this ribosomal RNA (495 nucleotides) under uncultured bacterium. RNAcentral describes it as "bacterial SSU rRNA". It matches the Rfam family "Bacterial small subunit ribosomal RNA", at positions 28 to 526 of the family's 1533-position model. The record is from RNAcentral.
GAUGAACGCUGGCGGAGUGCCUAACACAUGCAAGUCGAGCGGCAGCGGGCUCACAUUGCCUUGGUUUUAUAAACGAAGGCAGCGUGAGCGCCGGCGAGCGGCGGACGGCUGAGUAACGCGUGGGAACAUGCCCCAAAGUGAGGGAUAAGCAUCGGAAACGGUGUCUAAUACCGCAUAUGGUCUUCGGAUUAAAGGAUUUAUCCGCUUUGGGAGUGGCCUGCGUACGAUUAGAUAGUUGGUGAGGUAAAGGCUCACCAAGUCUACGAUCGUUAACUGGUUUGAGAGGAUGAUCAGUCAGACUGGAACUGAGACACGGUCCAGACUCCUACGGGAGGCAGCAGUGAGGAAUCUUCCACAAUGGGGGAAACCCUGAUGGAGCAACUCCGCGUGCAGGAUGAAGGUUUUCGGAUCGUAAACUGCUUUUAUGAGUGAAGAAUAUGACGGUAACUCAUGAAUAAGGGUCGGCUAACUACGUGCCAGCAGCCGCCGUAACAC